GUAUGGUUAAGUGACUAAGCGUACACGGUGGAUGCCUUGGCAGUCAGAGGCGAUGAAAGACGUAGUAACUUGCGAUAAGCCCAGAUUAGGUAGUAACAACCAUUUGAGUCUGGGAUUUCUGAAUGGGGAAACCCACGUGCAUAAGCACGUAUCCUUACCUGAAUACAUAGGGUAAGGAGGCGAACCGGGGGAACUGAAAC
Molecule: ribosomal RNA, 200 nt
Filed under: Vibrio parahaemolyticus
Lineage: Bacteria; Pseudomonadati; Pseudomonadota; Gammaproteobacteria; Vibrionales; Vibrionaceae
Description: partial 23S ribosomal RNA
Rfam family: Bacterial large subunit ribosomal RNA
Source: RNAcentral